This 73-nucleotide transfer RNA is filed under the name Neotoma lepida (desert woodrat). It matches the Rfam family "tRNA". Rfam says of the family: Transfer RNA (tRNA) molecules are approximately 80 nucleotides in length. Lineage: Eukaryota; Metazoa; Chordata; Mammalia; Rodentia; Cricetidae. The record is from Rfam by way of RNAcentral.
GGAGAGGUGGCUCAGAGGUUAAGAGCACUGGUUGUUCUUCCAGAGGUUCUGAGUUCAAUUCCCAGCAACUACA